Molecule: ribosomal RNA, 433 nt
Filed under: uncultured bacterium
Lineage: Bacteria
Description: partial 16S ribosomal RNA
Rfam family: Bacterial small subunit ribosomal RNA
Source: RNAcentral
AACGAACGCUGGCGGCAGGCCUAACACAUGCAAGUCGAGCGAGCACUUCGGUUCUAGCGGCGGACGCGUGAGUAACGCGUGGUAACGUGCCCUUUGCUUCGGAAUAGCCCUUGGAAACUGGUAGUAAUACCGGUUGAGCCCCCUGGGGGAAAGAUCUAUCGACGAAGGAUCGGCCGGCGGUGGAUUAGGUCGUUGGUGGGGUAAUGGCCCACCAAGCCGACGAUCCAUAGCUGCUGUGAGAGGAUGAUCAGCCACACGGGGACUGAGACACGGCCCAGACUCCUACGGGAGGCCGAAGUGGGGAAUCCUAGACAAUCGGGGCAACCGUGUUCUAGCAAUGUGACGUGAGCGAUGAAGGGCUUAGGGUUGGAAAGCUCUUCAAGCUGGGAAGAUAAUGCCGGUACCCGGAGAAGAAGCCGCGGCUAACUCCGUG